Molecule: ribosomal RNA, 408 nt
Filed under: bacterium enrichment culture clone ALO1_GLFRUDD03HI9DZ
Lineage: Bacteria
Description: bacterial SSU rRNA
Rfam family: Bacterial small subunit ribosomal RNA
Source: RNAcentral
GAGUUUGAUCGUGGCUCAGAUUGAACGCUGGCGGCAUGCCUUACACAUGUAAGUCGAACGGCAGCACGGGAGCUUGCUCCUGGUGGCGAGUGGCGAACGGGUGAGUAAUGCAUCGGAACGUAUCCUGGAGUGGGGGAUAACGUAGCGAAAGUUACGCUAAUACCGCAUAUUCUGUGAGCAGGAAAGCGGGGGACCUUCGGGCCUCGCGCUCUUGGAGCGGCCGAUGUCGGAUUAGCUAGUUGGUGAGGUAAAGGCUCACCGAGGCGACGAUCCGUAGCAGGUCUGAGAGGAUGAUCUGCCACACUGGAACUGAGACACGGUCCAGACUCCUACGGGGGGCAGCAGUGGGGAAUUUUGGACAAUGGGGGCAACCCGUGAUCCAGCCAUGCCGCGUGAGUGAAGAAGGCC